RNAcentral lists this small RNA (495 nucleotides) under uncultured Gigaspora. RNAcentral's name for it is "SSU rRNA". It matches the Rfam family "Eukaryotic small subunit ribosomal RNA", at positions 569 to 1072 of the family's 1831-position model. The record is from RNAcentral. Lineage: Eukaryota; Fungi; Glomeromycota; Glomeromycetes; Diversisporales; Gigasporaceae.
AGCAGCCGCGGUAAUUCCAGCUCCAAUAGCGUAUAUUAAAGUUGUUGCAGUUAAAAAGCUCGUAGUUGAAUUUCGGGGUUCUACCGUUGGUCGGGCUAUAGUCUGUACUGGCGUGUGGAAUUUCUACCUUCUGGGGAACUAUCAUGUUAUUAAUUUAGCGUGGUAGGAAACCAGAACCUUUACCUUGAAAAAUUAGAGUGUUCAAAGCAGGCUUACGUCUGAAUACAUUAGCAUGGAAUAAUAAAAUAGGACGGUGGUCCUGUUUUGUUGGUUUCUGAAUCACCGUAAUGAUUAAUAGGGAUAGUUGGGGGCAUUAGUAUUCAAUUGUCAGAGGUGAAAUUCUUGGAUUUAUUGAAGACUAACUACUGCGAAAGCAUUUGCCAAGGAUGUUUUCAUUAAUCAAGAACGAAAGUUAGGGGAUCGAAGACGAUCAGACACCGUCGUAGUCUUAACCAUAAACUAUGCCGACUAGGGAUCGGAUGAUGUUAAUUUUUA